AGGUCAAGCUACUAAGGGCGCACGGGGGAUGCCUUGGCGCCAAGAGCCGAUGAAGGGCGUGGCGAGACUGCGAAAAGCCCCGGUUAGCUGUCGGGCAAGCUGAGCCGGGGAUUCCCGAAUGAGGCAACUCACUCAGGCAAAACCUGAGUACUCAUAGCUGAACACAUAGGCUAUGUAGAGGUAAGCGGGGGAACUGAAACAUCUAAGUACCCCGAGGAACAGAAAUCAACCGAGAUUCCCUGAGUAGUGGCGAACGAAACGGGAACAGCCCAAACCACGAUGACUUAGUGGCCUCGAGGCCUAUGUCACCGUGGGGUUGCAGGACUGGCCGGAGAGGACUCGAGACCUCUCAGGGAGUUACAAACCGUAGCCCUAGCCGAAGGACUCUGGAACGAGCCGCCACAGAGGGUGAUGGCCCCGUAGGCGAAAGGGUGAGGCUCCCGGUCAUGAUCCUGAGUACCGCGGGACACGUGGAAUCCUGUGGGAAGCAGGGGGGACCACCCUCCAAGGCUAAAUACUCUUGGCGACCGAUAGUGAACAAGUACCGUGAGGGAAAGGUGAAAAGAACCCCGAGAGGGGAGUGAAAUAGACCUGAAACCGUGUGCCUACAAGCAGUCAGAGUCCUUCUUCGGAAGGAUAAUGGCGUGCCUAUUGAAGAAUGAGCCGACGAGUUAAUCUCUGUGGCAAGGUUAAGUCGUUCAGCGACGGAGCCGAAGCGAAAGCGAGUCCGAACAGGGCGACCAGUCGCAGGGAUUAGACCCGAAGCCGGGUGAGCUACCCAUGGCCAGGGUGAAGGUCGCUUAACCGCGACUGGAGGCCCGAACCCACCAAUGAGGCAAAAUUGGGGGAUGAGCUGUGGGUAGAGGUGAAAUGCCAACCGAACCCGGAGAUAGCUGGUUCUCCCCGAAAUGCAUUGAGGUGCAGCCUCGGGUGUUCAGUUGCGCAGGUAGGGCACUGGAUGGGCUAGGGGGCGCGAGCUUACCAAACUCAACCAAACCACGAAUGGCGCAACUUCAGAGCCCGGGAGUGAGGCAGUGGGGGAUAAGCUUCAUUGCCAAGAGGGAAACAGCCCAGACCAUCAGCUAAGGUCCCUAAGUGUAGGCUAAGUGGUAAAGGAUGUAGAGUUGCACAGACAGCCAGGAUGUUGGCUUAGAGGCAGCCAUCAUUGAAAGAGUGCGUAACAGCUCACUGGUCGAGUGGCACUGCGCCGAAAAUCCAGCGGGGCUCAAGCCUACCACCGAAGCUAUGGGAUUGGUUCUCUGAACCGAUCGGUAGGGGAGCGUUGCCUACGCGUUGAAGCUGUGUCGUGAGGCACGGUCGAGUGUAGGGAAGUGAGAAUGUCGGCAUGAGUAGCGCAAGGCGUGUGAGAAACACGCCCACCGUAAGCCUAAGGUUUCCUACGGAAGGUUAAUCCGCGUAGGGUUAGUCGGGCCUAAGCCGAGGCCGAAAGGCGUAGGCGAUGGACAACUGGUCAAUAUUCCAGUACCGCUUGCUCUUCGUUAAACCUAAGGGGGGACACAGGAGGGUAGGUCGAGCGUGCCCAUUGGACAUGGUGCGUCCCUGAUCGUAGGCGUGAGCCGGCAGGCAAAUCCACCGGCUCGUCAAGCUGAGGAGAUGGGGAAGUUGAGGGGCAACCCGAGGCGAUUCGGCUGAGCCCACACUGUCAAGAAAAGCCUCGUAGCUGAAGAGUGAGCGCCCGUACCGCAAACCGACUCUGGUAGGCGGGGGUAAGUACCCCAAGGUGAUCGAGAGAACCCUCGUUAAGGAACUCGGCAAUCUGGCCCCGUAACUUCGGGAGAAGGGGUGCCUCGGUUCGUGACGGGACUCGCUCCCCGAGCGUCCCGAGGUCGCAGUGAGCAGGCCCAGGCGACUGUUUAACAAAAACACAGGUCUCUGCUAAGGCGUAAGCCAAUGUAUAGGGGCUGACACCUGCCCAGUGCUGGAAGGUUAAGGGGAUGUGUCAUGGCUCUUCGGAGCCGGCAGCACUGAACCGAAGCCCCAGUGAACGGCGGCCGUAACUAUAACGGUCCUAAGGUAGCGAAAUCCCUUGUCGGGUAAGUUCCGACCCGCACGAAUGGUGUAACGACUUGGGCGCUGUCUCAACGAGGGACUCGGCGAAAUUGAAAUACCAGUGAAGAUGCUGGUUACCCGCGGCAGGACAAAAAGACCCCGUGGAGCUUUACUAUAGCUUGGCAUGGGAUUGAAGUUUAGCAUGUGUAGGAUAGGUGGGAGGCUGGGAAGCCGGGGCGUCAGCUUCGGUGGAGCCAUCCUUGAAAUACCACCCUUGUUGGAUUUUGGUUCUAACCCCUGAGCAAGCAGGGGGACAAUGCCAGGUGGGUAGUUUGACUGGGGCGGUCGCCUCCCAAAGCGUAACGGAGGCGCCCAAAGGUCCCCUCAGGGUGGAUGGAAAUCACCCGUCGAGUGCAUUGGCAUAAGGGGGCUUGACUGUGAGACCAACAAGUCGAGCAGGGACGAAAGUCGGGCAAAGUGAUCCUACGGCACUGUGUGGAAAGGCCGUGGCUUAACGGAUAAAAGCUACCCCGGGGAUAACAGGCUUAUCUCGCCCAAGAGUUCAUAUCGACGGCGAGGUUUGGCACCUCGAUGUCGGCUCGUCGCAUCCUGGGGCUGGAGAAGGUCCCAAGGGUUGGGCUGUUCGCCCAUUAAAGCGGCACGCGAGCUGGGUUCAGACCGUCGUGAGACAGGUCGGUCUCUAUCCGCCGUGGGCGUAGCAGAUUUGAGGGGAGCUCUCCCUAGUACGAGAGGACCGGGAGGGACAGACCUCUGGUGUGCCAGUUGUUCCGCCAGGAGCACCGCUGGGUAGCCAAGUCUGGAACGGAUAAGCGCUGAAAGCAUCUCAAGUGCGAAGCCGACCCCAAGAUGAGAUCUGCCACCGGGUUAACCGGGUAAGACCGCAGCAAGACCAGCUGUUUGAUAGGCGGCGUGUGUAAGCACCGCAAGGUGUUCAGCUAAGCCGUACUAACGGUCGAGGGCUUGACCUACA
This 3001-nucleotide ribosomal RNA is filed under the name Candidatus Altarchaeales archaeon. Its description in RNAcentral is "23S ribosomal RNA". It matches the Rfam family "Bacterial large subunit ribosomal RNA". Lineage: Archaea; Nanobdellati; Candidatus Altarchaeota; Candidatus Altarchaeia; Candidatus Altarchaeales. The record is from RNAcentral.